AAUAAAUGCAGCCAUGGAUAUCCGUGCCCAAUGUUUGACCGUCCGUCUUAUUUGAAAAAUUUAUGAAAAAUUUAAAAAUAUUUAUUACUAUUCAUGUUUUAUCAUCUAAUAGCAACAAAAAUACUAAUCAUAAAAAAUUUUCAAAUAAGAUAAACGGUCAAAUGUUGAACGUGAAUAGUGCAAAACUGCACUUAUU
Molecule: microRNA precursor, 196 nt
Filed under: Oryza glumipatula
Lineage: Eukaryota; Viridiplantae; Streptophyta; Magnoliopsida; Poales; Poaceae
Description: MIR812 microRNA precursor family
Rfam family: MIR812 microRNA precursor family
Source: Rfam by way of RNAcentral